UACGGAGGGUGCAAGCGUUAAUCGGAAUUACUGGGCGUAAAGGGUGCGCAGGCGGCGUCGCAAGUCAGGCGUGAAAUCCCCGGGCUUAACCUGGGAACUGCACUUGAAACUACGAUGCUGGAGUAUGGCAGAGGGAGGUGGAAUUCCACGUGUAGCGGUGAAAUGCGUAGAGAUGUGGAGGAACACCGAUGGCGAAGGCAGCCUCCUGGGCCAAUACUGACGCUCAUGCACGAAAGCGUGGGGAGCAAACAGG
RNAcentral lists this ribosomal RNA (253 nucleotides) under uncultured bacterium. RNAcentral's name for it is "partial 16S ribosomal RNA". It matches the Rfam family "Bacterial small subunit ribosomal RNA", at positions 524 to 776 of the family's 1533-position model. The record is from RNAcentral.